Molecule: ribosomal RNA, 478 nt
Filed under: uncultured bacterium
Lineage: Bacteria
Description: partial 16S ribosomal RNA
Rfam family: Bacterial small subunit ribosomal RNA
Source: RNAcentral
GACGAACGCUGGCGGCGUGCCUAACACAUGCAAGUCGAGCGGAGAUUGCAGUAAUGUAAUCUUAGCGGCGGACGGGUGAGUAACGCGUGGGCAACCUACCUUUAUCUGGGGGAUAACACAGGGAAACUUGUGCUAAUACCGCAUAAAAUCAUAAGAAGACAUCUUCUAAUGAUCAAAGGAGUAAUCCGGAUAGAGAUGGGCCCGCGUCCGAUUAGCUAGUUGGUGGUGUAACGGACCACCAAGGCGACGAUCGGUAGCCGAACUGAGAGGUUGAUCGGCCACAUUGGGACUGAGACACGGCGCAGACUCCUACGGGAGGCAGCAGUGGGGAAUAUUGCGCAAUGGGGGAAACCCUGACGCAGCAACUCCGCGUGAAGGAUGAAGGUUUUCGGAUCGUAAACUUCUUUGAUGAGGGACGAAUAAAUGACGGUACCUCAAAAACAAGCCACGGCUAACUACGUGCCAGCCGCCGCCGUAA